This 475-nucleotide ribosomal RNA is filed under the name uncultured bacterium. RNAcentral's name for it is "bacterial SSU rRNA". It matches the Rfam family "Bacterial small subunit ribosomal RNA", at positions 29 to 506 of the family's 1533-position model. The record is from RNAcentral.
AUGAACGCUGGCGGCGUGCUUGACCUAUGCAAGUCGAACGUGCCCCAAGCCAAGCUUGCUUGGUGAGGGACAAGUGGCGUCCGGGUGAGUAACACGUAGGUGACCUGCCCCGAAGUGGGGGACAACCACUGGAAACGGUGGCUAAUACCGCAUGUGGUGCGGCAUUCAUUUGCCGCAUUAAAGGUGAGGCGUAAGCCUCGCCGCUACGGGAGGGGCCUGCGGCCGAUUAGCUAGUUGGUGGGGUAAUGGCUUACCAAGGCGACGAUCGGUAGCUGGUCUGAGAGGGCGAUCAGCCACACUGGCACUGAAAUACGGGCCAGACUCCUACGGGAGGCAGCAAGGAGGAAUAUUGCGCAAUGGGCGAAAGCCUGACGCAGCAACGCCGCGUGGGUGAUGAAGGCCUUCGGGUCGUAAAGCCCUUUUCUGGGGGAAGAGGAAGGACGGUACCUCAGGAAUAAGCCUCGGCGAACUACGU